CAGCCGCCACGGUAAAACGAAGGGUGCAAGCGUUACUCGGAAUUACUGGGCGUAAAGCGUGCGUAGGUGGUGGUUUAAGUCCGUUGUGAAAGCCCUGGGCUCAACCUGGGAAUUGCAGUGGAUACUGGAUCACUAGAGUGUGGUAGAGGAUAGUGGAAUUUCCGGUGUAGCAGUGAAAUGCGUAGAGAUCGGAAGGAACAUCUGUGGCGAAGGCGACUAUCUGGGCCAACACUGACACUGAGGCACGAAAGCGUGGGGAGCAAACAGGAUUAGAUACCCCCGUAGUCCCUGUCUCUUAUAC
Molecule: ribosomal RNA, 301 nt
Filed under: uncultured bacterium
Lineage: Bacteria
Description: partial 16S ribosomal RNA
Rfam family: Bacterial small subunit ribosomal RNA
Source: RNAcentral